CGCAUCUGUGCAUGCAGCAUAUCAAUAAGCGGAGGAAAAGAAACUAACAAGGAUUCCCUUAGUAACGGCGAGUGAAGCGGGAAGAGCUCAAAUUUGAAAUCUUCAAGGUUUUACCUUGACGAAUUGUAGUUUAAAGAAGUGUUUUCUGCUGAAGUUUUGGUAAAAGUUCUUUGGAAUAGGACAUCAUAGAGGGUGAGAAUCCCGUAUUUGACCUUCACUUUCAACUUUGUGAUACACUUUCAAAGAGUCGGAUUGCUUGGGAAUGCGGUCCAAAAUGGGUGGUAAAUUUCAUCUAAAGCUAAAUAUUGGCGAGAGACCGAUAGCGAACAAGUACCGUGAGGGAAAGAUGAAAAGAACUUUGAAAAGAGAGUUAAACAGUACGUGAAAUUGUCAAAAGGGAAGCGUUUGACACCAGUGUUGUUUAUCUGAAAAUCGAUUAAAGAACUGUUUAUGCUAAGUUGUUUAGACUUUAUCAGCUAACUGUUUAGUUUUGAGCUUUUCUUUAAUGCACUUUUCGUUUAACAAGUCAACAUCAGUUUCUUUUGCUGUAAAAAAGCUUGAGGAAGGUUGCUUGAGAUUCGUCUUAAGUGUUUAUAGCCUCUUGCCUAUGCAGUCGGAGAGAUUGAGGUCUGCAGCGUAGAUCCUUCGGGGCUAAAUGCAUUUGUGCUAAGUUAUAGCAUUUUAUAGACAACUUGUUGACUAUGAUUUGUCUUGUAGCUUACUCGCUUAUGCUAUUUUACCUACGCUUAGGAUGUUGAUAGUCACAGCGUGUAC
This 774-nucleotide ribosomal RNA is filed under the name uncultured Neocallimastigales. RNAcentral's name for it is "partial large subunit ribosomal RNA". It matches the Rfam family "Eukaryotic large subunit ribosomal RNA", at positions 26 to 610 of the family's 3401-position model. Lineage: Eukaryota; Fungi; Neocallimastigomycota; Neocallimastigomycetes; Neocallimastigales. The record is from RNAcentral.